Polistes dominula (European paper wasp) is the source of this 854-nucleotide long non-coding RNA. Lineage: Eukaryota; Metazoa; Arthropoda; Insecta; Hymenoptera; Vespidae. The record is from RefSeq and is a predicted model, not a curated record.
UUUUGAGUCAAGUGGUAACUCGACUAUAUAAAAUACAUUAAAGACGAUACUCGGAAAAGGUGGGCGAAAAUUUAUAACCUAUACAACACUACCGUUUGCGCACGGUACGUUAAAAAUAAAUGCCGUUUUUCUUUGUGAUCCAGUCGAGAAUGAUCACGAAAAUGAUUCAAUGAUUACUAUUCAUCAAUUCAAAAUUGAAUACAAUGGGAGGAAAAAAGGUGUGAGAGGAUCGUAAAAGUUUUCACGCUCGUUCACGCUAUUUUCACGCUCGUCUCCUCUGAUCUUGGUUAAGCGUAUAACAUCAUCAACGACAACAGCACCAGCACUAGCACCAGCAACAGCAGCUGGGUUCAAUGGUGUAACGUUCGAUUAGCCCGGAUGACCGGAUCCUAGCCAAGCCGAGUCGUAAACUCGUGGAGAGUUCAACGAGGCGACAGGAAAUCCGGACGGCCACUCUUCACGUAAAAGACCAACAACUCUUCUCAGUUAACAACUGGACACGAAUGUCCAAGAACCUUUUGUCGGUCAAUGACUCCACCUUCGUACCUCCUAGUUGGCAAAGGGUCGACACACCAGGUGGAGGAAUACGCUCUGAGGCCAACAGAGAAGAAUCUACUCGUCAGUUAAAAGUAUUCAGCACUUAAAGGGUUAAUAGCAAUUAAUAGGAAAUUUAUAUGUUUCUACACCCUCUCCUGAAUUGCUGCAGCACCCACCAGGGAGCAGUGGCGCCCACUUUGGGAAUCACACACUGCCAUAAUAUAUAUUACAGUAAUCAAAUUUGUAAUGAAUCAAAUUGGCUCACGACAGUCCGUAAAUCUAAUGUUAAAUAAAAAAAAAAAAAAGAACAAUCGAUG